This 528-nucleotide ribosomal RNA is filed under the name Triticum aestivum (bread wheat). RNAcentral describes it as "partial small subunit ribosomal RNA". The record is from RNAcentral. Lineage: Eukaryota; Viridiplantae; Streptophyta; Magnoliopsida; Poales; Poaceae.
AUGGCUCUCGUCGUGCUCGCCGCCGUGUCCUCUGACGUCCUUCCCGUCGCCGACGCCGACGAUGGCCUCUUCUCCAGGACGUGCAAGAAGAGCAAGACCCCCGCGAUCUGCGUGGCCAUGCUGAGAGCCGACCGAAGGACCGACGGCGCCAUGAACCUGUACGGCCUCGCCAGCAACGCGCUGCUGAUCGCAAUCGACACUGUCUACAACAACACUAGGGUAAUCGUCGACUUGUUCAAGGGCAAAGAGGGCACACCGGAGGGGGGAGCGCUGGAUGUUUGCAACCAGGCCUAUCUCGAAGCCGACAACGACCUUGAGCUCCAAGCGCGCGUUGCCCUCGACUUUUUGGACUAUGCCGGCGCGUCGAAUGUCAUCUUGCUCGCGAAGGACGCCGGUGAUAUGUGUGAGGACGCGUUCAAGGCGAUCAACAAGAAGUCCCCCCUGACCGACAUGGAUCGCCAGAUGACGGAGCGCUGUGGUGUCACGGCCGACCUCAUGGAUCUGCUUGCCUCCAAGCGAUCGGAAUAA